Molecule: ribosomal RNA, 610 nt
Filed under: Hypocreales sp.
Lineage: Eukaryota; Fungi; Ascomycota; Sordariomycetes; Hypocreales
Description: SSU rRNA
Rfam family: Eukaryotic small subunit ribosomal RNA
Source: RNAcentral
GGCUCAUUAUAUAAGUUAUCGUUUAUUUGAUAGUACUUUACUACUUGGAUAACCGUGGUAAUUCUAGAGCUAAUACAUGCUAAAAAUCCCGACUUCGGAAGGGAUGUAUUUAUUAGAUUAAAAACCAAUGCCCUUUGGGCUCCUUGGUGAAUCAUGAUAACUUCUCGAAUCGCAUGGCCUUGCGCCGGCGAUGGUUCAUUCAAAUUUCUUCCCUAUCAACUUUCGAUGUUUGGGUAUUGGCCAAACAUGGUCGCAACGGGUAACGGAGGGUUAGGGCUCGACCCCGGAGAAGGAGCCUGAGAAACGGCUACUACAUCCAAGGAAGGCAGCAGGCGCGCAAAUUACCCAAUCCCGACUCGGGGAGGUAGUGACAAUAAAUACUGAUACGAGGCUCUUUUGGGCCUUGUAAUUGGAAUGAGUACAAUUUAAAUCUCUUAACGAGGAACAAUUGGAGGGCAAGUCUGGUGCCAGCAGCCGCGGUAAUUCCAGCUCCAAUAGCGUAUAUUAAAGUUGUUGUGGUUAAAAAGCUCGUAGUUGAACCUUGGGCCUGGCUGGCCGGUCCGCCUCACCGCGUGUACUGGUCCGGCCGGGCCUUUCCCUCUGUGGAACC